GAUGAACGCUGACAGAAUGCUUAAUACAUGCAAGUCAACUUGAAUUUGGGUUUUUAACUUAGGUUUGGGUGGCGGACGGGUGAGUAACGCGUAAAGAACUUGCCUCACAGCUAGGGACAACAUUUGGAAACGAAUGCUAAUACCUAAUAUUAUGAUAAUAGGGCAUCCUAUAAUUAUGAAAGCUAUAAGCGCUGUGAGAGAGCUUUGCGUCCCAUUAGCUAGUUGGAGAGGUAACGGCUCACCAAGGCGAUGAUGGGUAGCCGGCCUGAGAGGGUGAUCGGCCACAAGGGGACUGAGACACGGCCCUUACUCCUACGGGAGGCAGCAGUGGGGAAUAUUGGACAAUGGACCAAGAGUCUGAUCCAGCAAUUCUGUGUGCACGAUGAAGUUUUUCGGAAUGUAAAGUGCUUUCAGUUGGGAAGAAAGAAAUGACGGUACCAACAGAAGAAGUGACGGCUAAAUACGUG
Molecule: ribosomal RNA, 467 nt
Filed under: uncultured bacterium
Lineage: Bacteria
Description: partial 16S ribosomal RNA
Rfam family: Bacterial small subunit ribosomal RNA
Source: RNAcentral